UACGUAGGGGCCUAGCGUUGUCCGGAGUUAUUGGGCGUAAAGAGCUCGUAGGCGGUUCGGUAAGUCAGGUGUGAAAUCUCCACGCUCAACGUGGAGGCGCCACCUGAAACUGCCGUGACUCGAGUCCGGUAGGGGAGUGUGGAAUUCCUGGUGUAGCGGUGAAAUGCGCAGAUAUCAGGAGGAACACCGGUGGCGAAGGCGGUUCUCUGGGCAUUACCUGACGCUGAGGAGCGAAAGUGUGGGGAGCGAACAGG
This 254-nucleotide ribosomal RNA is filed under the name uncultured bacterium. RNAcentral's name for it is "partial 16S ribosomal RNA". It matches the Rfam family "Bacterial small subunit ribosomal RNA", at positions 524 to 776 of the family's 1533-position model. The record is from RNAcentral.